AUGGCUAUUGUAAAGACACUUCAUUAUUUAGCUUUUCGAUCCGCCAUCUGUGGUGGAGCCGCCACCAAAAUGCAGAUUUCGUGAAAACUCUUAUGGGGAAGACCAUCACCCUCGAGGUUGAACCCUCGGAUAUGAUAGAAAAUGUAAAGGCCAAGAUCCAGGAUAAGGAAGAAAUUCCUCCUGAUCAGCAAAGACUGAUCUUUGCUGGCAAGCAACUGGAAGGUGGACGUACUUUGUCUGACUACAAUAUUCAAAAGGAGUCUACUCUUCAUCUUGUGUUGAGACUUCAUGGUGGUGCUAAGAAAAGGAAGAAGAAGUCUUACACCACUCCCAAGAAGAAUAAGCACAAGAGAAAGAAGGUUAAGCUAGCUGUCCUGAAAUAUUAUAAGGUGGAUGAGAAUGGCAAAAUUAGUCGCCUUCGUCGAGAGUGCCCGUCUGAUGAAUGUGGUGCUGGGGUGUUUAUGGCAAGCCACUUUGACAGACAUUAUUGUGGCAAAUGUUGUCUGACUUAUUGCUUCAACAAGCCAGAAGACAAGUAACUGUAUGAGUUAAUAAAAGACGCGAACUAACAAAAAAAAAAAAAAAAA
Molecule: RNA transcript, 587 nt
Organism: Rhinopithecus roxellana (golden snub-nosed monkey)
Lineage: Eukaryota; Metazoa; Chordata; Mammalia; Primates; Cercopithecidae
Gene name: ubiquitin-40S ribosomal protein S27a pseudogene
Exons: 2
Source: RefSeq, a predicted model, not a curated record